This 497-nucleotide ribosomal RNA is filed under the name uncultured bacterium. RNAcentral describes it as "partial 16S ribosomal RNA". It matches the Rfam family "Bacterial small subunit ribosomal RNA", at positions 28 to 507 of the family's 1533-position model. The record is from RNAcentral.
GAUGAACGCUGGCGGCGUGCCUAAUACAUGCAAGUCGAGCGAACAGACGAGGAGCUUGCUCCUCUGACGUUAGCGGCGGACGGGUGAGUAACACGUGGAUAACCUACCUAUAAGACUGGGAUAACUUCGGGAAACCGUAGCUAAUACCGGAUAAUAUAUUGAACUGCAUGGUUCAAUAGUGAAAGACGGUUUUGCUGUCACUUAUAGAUGGAUCCGCGCCGCAUUAGCUAGUUGGUAAGGUAACGGCUUACCAAGGCAACGAUGCGUAGCCGACCUGAGAGGGUAAUCGGCCACACUGGAACUGAGACACGGUCCAGACUCCUACGGGAGGCAGCAGUAGGGAAUCUUCCGCAAUGGGCGAAAGCCUGACGGAGCAACGCCGCGUGAGUGAUGAAGGUCUUCGGAUCGUAAAACUCUGUUAUUAGGGAAGAACAAAUGUGUAAGUAACUAUGCACGUCUUGACGGUACCUAAUCAGAAAGCCACGGCUAACUACGUG